This is a non-coding RNA of Camellia sinensis, 1651 nucleotides long. Lineage: Eukaryota; Viridiplantae; Streptophyta; Magnoliopsida; Ericales; Theaceae. The record is from RefSeq and is a predicted model, not a curated record.
UUUUGUUCUAGGAUAUUUUGAAGUGAGAAAGCAGCUGCAUCUGGAGUAUAAGGUAAUCAGUUGAUUCCUUUUUCCAGUUUUUUGUUUUUGUUUUUGUGUUUUUUUUAUCUUCCUUAGGUAUGUAUAAUCACUAGAUGAUUUGCUAUAAUCACUAGUCGGUUUUGUUUGGUCCAGCAGGCUGAUUUUUGUGUGACCAGCUACCCAACAUGGGUCUGACUGGUGUUUGUGUUGGAUCCAGCAGGUUGAUUGACCUGGCUACCUUACUAAUGUGGAUCGUCACUGUAGUAUUUUUGAACUCCUAGUGAUAUGUGAAAUACCUUAUAGCAUAUUGUUGUUGGAAUUGAGUAAAUUGAAUCAUAUUACAAAGAUGAUAGACAAGAUGAACAUUGACAAACUCUCUGUAUGUAAAGAUUUUGACCCAAUUAUUGCUGAAAAUCUUAUAAUUACUUGUACCCUUGUGUAUGCUAUGAAGCUGCUUUAUUCCUAUUCUUUUCUCCAUAAUCCCCACCUUAUAGUGUCUCUCGCCUUUCAAUCUGUGGAGGAUUUUCGCAAUGCAGCAAUCAGCUGAAUGCAAGCUGACAUGACAUCUCUGUUUGGAACUAUAACUUACCAGUCAAAUCAAUCUUCGAGUAUCUUCUUGGGCAAGCCUUUUUCCGCAAAGUUUCAAGGAGGAAGUACAUAGAGCCAACUCAAAGAUUAUAGGUUAUGUUUCUUCCUUCAGUGCACACAAUUAGUCACAGAAGCCGGAUUCUGUGUUUCCCUCCUAAGGCUUGUUCCUCCGUCUCCUUGAGUUCCAAAGACAGCUCAAUGCAACAAAAGUUGGGUGAGCAGUUGAUUAACAUCUAAAGAACAACGUUGGAAACACAUACAAUAUUACAGAAAUGUUGGAAAAGGCAAUGGCAACUCCUCCAACUGUUUCACCAAUAUGGUGUUCCCCAUUACUUGAGGUAUGUCUAUGUAUGAACAAACACAGACCUCUGCAUAUAAUUUCUCUCUGGUGCCAAGAAGAAAAAUUGAUUAGUUGAGCUUCUGGCAAGUUAUAAACUGAUAAUCUAAACAUUGUACCUAAAAGUAUGCGCAGGAUUUUUUUUCUCACUAAAUUCUUCUAUUUUCUUAUCCUAAUACACUUCUAAUUAUUGGAUUAUACAUCGAGAUUCAUGUCUCAAGAUUUUCAUGUGAUCCAAUGAUUCAGGAUGUAAUAGGACAAAGACAGGAAUUUGAAUAUAGAGAAUCCUUGGUAUGUUGAAUUUACAUGAAGUUUUGACCCGAUAUCAUGUUAAUCAACUUGAGCUGAUUUGAGUUGUUUGCUUCAAUGGGGUCCAUUGAUUCGUUGUUAUGAUGACCUGUCUGUAAUACAUAUUGUUUAAUGGUUAUUAGAUUUGUGAUUUUAUGAUUGUGAUUUAUUUAUUUUUGGUUACAAUUGUUCUGUAUACAGUUUGAAAUUACUGCUAAUCUUCUACUCGUUGCUAUUGGGUUUUAGCUUUUUCUUGUUAGCUUCUAAAAAUCUUAUUAGUCGAACAACCUGGAUUAGAUGUUUAAUUCUUCCACGUCAUGGAAGACUUGGUUGCUAGGAGAAAUAAAUCAUGUUUCUUAAUUGUGUACUUUGAUCAUAAUACUAUGUUCUGUUGCCAUUUCCAUUUUAAGUAUUCAU